CUUCAAGGUGUAGUUAACAUGGAGAAAAAGAAUGGAACUGAGUAGAAGGUGGUACGAAUUGAAGACCAAACGGCUGCCACUUAAAGUUAGGCGCUGAGGUGAGGAAGCCUUAAUGUUAUUGCAAGGUUUCUUGGAGGACCCCAGCCCAUCUGUUCUGCCCAGCCUGUUAAAUGAAAUGAAAGCUCCUCUUAGAGGCAAACCAGAAUUAAAAAAUCAUGGGAACCAGCUUCAGUCACCAUGAAGUAUCAUGUGCUGAAACCUCAUAAUAUCAACGCAUCACUAGCUAAGUUUAGAGUAAACUUCUGGAUGCGACCAAGUGACUCAAGGCAUCGGCAAAGGUCUCACUUGAAGUCUCAUAGGGAAAUAAUUUCUGUCUCUUAAUUUAAUACAACGUCAAAGGAAUUGAGCCCAGCAAGUCCUACAGUUAAAACCCAGAAGUCCUGUUUUGAUUUGAACAGUGAGCUUCUCUGUUGUUAGCAGGUGAUUUCAUUUGGCUGUCCUUGGAGUCAGUCUUUGCCUUGAGUUCAAAAAGACCUGGAUUUCACCCAGAGGUAUUCCAUCAGCAUAACUUUGGCUUAAAUGAUACCAGAAUACCCUCUACCAGCUUCCAGUGAAUCUUCCAAGCAUCUUCAAGUGCAAGUUUGGGGCUUUCAGUACAGCUAUCCAGUAUUCUGCUGAGUUUGGAGGGGAACACAUUUCACCAAUGAUGGGAAAACAAGACAAGAGAAAAAUAUUUGCAAUUCAAAAAGAAGAAAAUGGAAAAGCAUUGCUUAGAAAGAACUCCACACACAUCCUUGCAUAAAUAUCCUUUGUCUGUGGGUCAGGGCUUACUUGUGCUGUACUCUUUGA
Cuculus canorus (common cuckoo) is the source of this 849-nucleotide long non-coding RNA. RefSeq lists it as uncharacterized. The transcript is spliced from 4 exons. NCBI's taxonomy places the organism in Eukaryota, Metazoa, Chordata, Aves, Cuculiformes, Cuculidae. The record is from RefSeq and is a predicted model, not a curated record.